This is a long non-coding RNA of Onychomys torridus (southern grasshopper mouse), 1207 nucleotides long. RefSeq lists it as uncharacterized. Lineage: Eukaryota; Metazoa; Chordata; Mammalia; Rodentia; Cricetidae. The transcript is spliced from 2 exons. The record is from RefSeq and is a predicted model, not a curated record.
CAAAUUGGUACCACCAAAACAGUGGUACAGAUGGGGCCACAGGAGUAAAGAGACAGUGAUGCAUUUCCUACUGGAGUCUGUCUCCUCUGCCCUUCCCAGGGAUGGCAAGGAUCAGGCCAGGGCUCCCACAUUAAGCCUAGACCUUCUCUACCCAGCUCCCUGCACCUCUCUGCUGCCCACACCUCAAGGGCAAGCAGAAGCAGGUACAUCAACGCCUUCCCCAGCUGGAGUCAACCUGGACAGCAGGAUUUAGGGAGAUGGGGGUAUGAAGGCAGCCCGUGUGGGGCUGGUCACAAAGGUCACUGCAGGGAUGGAGAGAGAGGAGAGGUGGAUCAGGUGAGAUCAAGAAGAGAGCUAAGUCUGGAGGGACAAGAGCCAGAGCGCUCUGGACGCCAACCUUAGGCUGGUCUGAAGGAAACAGAGUUUGCUUAAGGAGUGAAUAUCCAGAAGAUGAAGUUCGGGUACCGGCUUCCCCGAUACGAUAGAACUGAAGCUUGGAGAUGAGGUGGCUGGUAGCCUGCACAGGUGAUUCUAGACCGCAUCAAGUUGACAGCUGAAACUCACCCAUCACUGGGGAGGUGAGCGGAGCAAACCCCUUGUAAGGAUGGGAAUCAGCUCUUCCUCCGCCAGCCAGGGUGCUGUUAUAAGUGCCUGACCACAGACACCAAAAGCAUUCAGCAAGGACAAGUUCUUCAUCCACGAUGUUCUCAAGACCAUGCUCCGGGCGUUCUGUUACAAUGGUGGUGACCACAGCCACCAGAGCAGCAGGUCCUGUCCACUGAGGGCUUUUCCUGGUUCAGGUGGUACCCCACACAUGGGCUGUCAUCAUUCCGGGACAUCUAAGACACAGAUCCUAUUUCUCGGUGCCUACCUUACAGUAGGUAAAAUGAGGCUCAGAGGCUGUGGGCUCUUCCCAGUCAGUGUUGGAAGAGGCCAUGGAGAGCAGAGCCAGCCUUAAAGCUUUGUCUCAAUGACCCAGAAGCCAUCCCACUGUCCUGCCCCCAUGGAUCCUAUGGCAACCCGCAGUGGCAGUCUUAAGGCCACACCACAGGUGAAGAGACCAGAGUCCAUACAGCUGGUCCAAGCAGGCCAACCUGAGCCCAGCACAGCUCUGGGCAUUCUCCCAUUUUGUCUCCAAUCCUGGAGGUGUCAGAUGGAGGCUAGGCCAGUACCUUGAAGCCCAAUAAAGAAGAAGGCUGACCUCCAA